Molecule: non-coding RNA, 1012 nt
Organism: Ciona intestinalis (vase tunicate)
Lineage: Eukaryota; Metazoa; Chordata; Ascidiacea; Phlebobranchia; Cionidae
Source: RefSeq, a predicted model, not a curated record
AAAUAACAAGUCUAGAGAAAUGCCCUGCGUGUUGUUUUUAAUUUCUCGCGAAAACUGAAAAGGAAAAAAUGAUUUUCGCAUAAAUAGAUCCAGAUUUCAGUAAAAACCUAACAACGAUCUGACAACUAGUCAGGUAAAAGCAAGAAAACGACCAGAGACCAAAUCUUUACUAAGGGUUUUAGGAUAUAGGCAGAUGCUAUAGUUAAAACUGUGCAUUUUGUAGAUUUACAGAAGUGCAUAAUAAAGUGUUAUUUUGGUAUAGAUUAAUUAAAUACAUCAUUUAUGUUAUGUACAGUUUUAUUUACCAACUUUCUUUUUCCAGAUUUACGAGAAAAUUACGAAAAAUCAAUUUUUCUGUUAUUUUCUAAGAAAAAAGUCCGGUAUAAAAAGAUGAAUUCAAAAUUUGCAAUUCUCGUCACAAUUCUAUGUUUCUCACUCUUUAUCACGUCACAAGCUGCAUUUCCAGCGAACAAAUGGUCAAGGCACAUUUGGUCGAGACGUAUGCAACUUGGUAUAGAUUCUUGGAGCUGUACCAGACGUGUUCACCGUGCCUGUAGUGAAAUCCGCCCAAACUGUGGGGCCCGAGUACGAUAUCAGCGCAGUAUAUCAGCAGAAGGGCUUCUCCAAACUUUAUUAUCAUUAUCGUCACAAUCUAAAGUCCAUGACGUCACAAAGCGCUCUGUUUACUACUUGCAACGUCACAGAGUAUACCCACGUGUCACGUGUGAGAUCUGCUAUCUUUUACGAUGCUAGACCCUUCAAAUAUUUCGUAAUACCACUUGUGACGUCGUAGUUGUGACGUCACGAGUUAUGAUGUCACAUUUUUUUGACGUCAGAGGCCAAUCCGCACUGCCAACGCAAGCUCAUUAUUUUAUUCUUUAAUUUUUUACUUUUCGCGCUUUUUGUACCUUUUCGUUUAUUUAUGUAAAUUAUUUACAAGUUCUUAUAAACUGUUUUUUCUCUCUGUGUCUUUAAUUACUUUCCUGUAGCGCUGUGAAUAAAAUACAAAUAC